GAUGAACGCUGGCGGCGUGCCUAACACAUGCAAGUCGAGCGAUGAAGUUUCCUUCGGGAAAUGGAUUAGCGGCGGACGGGUGAGUAACACGUGGGUAACCUGCCUCAUAGUGGGGGAUAGCCUUCCGAAAGGGAGAUUAAUACCGCAUAACAUCAUUAGAUGGCAUCAUUUAGUGAUCAAAGGAUUUAUUCGCUAUGAGAUGGACCCGCGUCGCAUUAGCUAGUUGGUAGGGUAAUGGCUUACCAAGGCGACGAUGCGUAGCCGACCUGAGAGGGUGAUCGGCCACAUUGGGACUGAGACACGGCCCAAACUCCUACGGGAGGCAGCAGUGGGGAAUAUUGCACAAUGGGGGAAACCCUGAUGCAGCAACGCCGCGUGAGUGAUGACGGUCUUCGGAUUGUAAAGCUCUGUCUUUGGGGACGAUAAUGACGGUACCCAAGGAGGAAGCCACGGCUAACUAC
This 461-nucleotide ribosomal RNA is filed under the name uncultured bacterium. RNAcentral's name for it is "bacterial SSU rRNA". It matches the Rfam family "Bacterial small subunit ribosomal RNA", at positions 28 to 504 of the family's 1533-position model. The record is from RNAcentral.